This 804-nucleotide long non-coding RNA is filed under the name Acyrthosiphon pisum (pea aphid). RNAcentral's name for it is "uncharacterized LOC103310577, transcript variant X3". Lineage: Eukaryota; Metazoa; Arthropoda; Insecta; Hemiptera; Aphididae. The record is from RNAcentral.
ACUAAUCUGUUUGUUCAUUUUUCAGAUAUGUACUAUAUAUUGAGUUUCAUACCGAUGCUUAUUGUGCAGACAAAGACAAACACUUUUAAAGGACUAACAUCAAUGGAAAAAUACAUGAGCUCGUUCAUUACAGUUAAUGUCUACUUUCGUCGUCCGAUUAAAAUUUGAAUGAUAUGUACUAUAUAUUGAGUUUCAUACCGAUGCUCAUUGUGCAGACAAAGACAAACACUUUUAAAGGACUAACAUCAAUGGAAAAAUACAUGAGCUCGUUCAUUACAGUUAAUGUCUACUUUCGUCGUUCGAUUAAAAUUUGAAUGAUAUGUACUAUAUAUUGAGUUUCAUACCGAUGCUUAUUGUGCAGACAAAGACAAACACUUUUAAAGGAAUAACAUCAAUGGAAAAAUACAUGAGCUCGUUCAUUACAGUUAAUGUCUACUUUGGUCGUCCGAUUAAAAUUUGAAUGAUAUGUACUAUAUAUUGAGUUUCAUACCGAUGCUUAUUGUGCAGACAAAAAAAAACACUUUUAAAGGACUAACAUCAAUGGAAAAAUACAUGAGCUCGUUCAUUACAGUUAAUGUCUACUUUGGUUGUCCGAUUAAAAUUUGAAUGAUAUGUACUAUAUAUUGAGUUUCAUACCGAUGCUUAUUGUGCAGACAAAGACAAACACUUUUAAAGGACUAACAUCAAUGGAAAAAUACAUGAGCUCGUUCAUUACAGUUAAUGUCUACUUUGGUCGUCCGAUUAAAAUUUGAAUGAUAUGUUCUAUAUAUUGAGUUUCAUACCGAUGCUUAUUGUGCAGACAAA